UGGGGAAUAUUGGACAAUGGGCGAAAGCCUGAUCCAGCCAUGCCGCGUGUGUGAAGAAGGUCUUCGGAUUGUAAAGCACUUUAAGUUGGGAGGAAGGGCAGUAAGCGAAUACCUUGCUGUUUUGACGUUACCGACAGAAUAAGCACCGGCUAACUCUGUGCCAGCAGCCGCGGUAAUACAGAGGGUGCAAGCGUUAAUCGGAAUUACUCGGCGUAAAGCGCGCGUAGGUGGUUCGUUAAGUUGAAUGUGAAAGCCCCGGGCUCAACCUGGGAACUGCAUCCAAAACUGGCGAGCUAGAGUAGGGCAGAGGGUGGUGGAAUUUCCUGUGUAGCGGUGAAAUGCGUAGAUAUAGGAAGGAACACCAGUGGCGAAGGCGACCACCUGGGCUCAUACUGACACUGAGGUGCGAAAGCGUGGGGAGCAAACAGG
Molecule: ribosomal RNA, 429 nt
Filed under: Pseudomonadota bacterium
Lineage: Bacteria; Pseudomonadati; Pseudomonadota
Description: Proteobacteria bacterium partial 16S ribosomal RNA
Rfam family: Bacterial small subunit ribosomal RNA
Source: RNAcentral